RNAcentral lists this unclassified non-coding RNA (334 nucleotides) under soil metagenome. RNAcentral describes it as "partial contains 5.8S ribosomal RNA, internal transcribed spacer 2, and large subunit ribosomal RNA". The stretch from base 1 to 120 matches the Rfam family "5.8S ribosomal RNA", at positions 35 to 154 of the family's 154-position model. The record is from RNAcentral.
GAUGAAGAACGUAGCGAAAUGCGAUAAGUAGUGUGAAUUGCAGAAUUCAGUGAAUCAUCGAAUCUUUGAACGCACAUUGCGCCCUGUGGUAUUCCGCAGGGCAUGCCUGUUCGAGCGUCAUUGACACCCUCAAGCUCUGCUUGGUCUUGGGCGUUUGUGCCUGCCGUUGCGCAGGGACUCGCCUCAAACUCAUUGGCAGCCUGCCUUUGCCGGUCUUUGCACAGCACAGUCGUGCCAAAGCCGCGGUGAGCAGGCGCUCCACAAGCCCUUUUCAGCUUGACCUCGGAUCAGUUAGGAAUACCCGCUGAACUUAAGCAUAUCAAUAAGCGGAGGA